RNAcentral lists this long non-coding RNA (484 nucleotides) under Populus tremula. Its description in RNAcentral is "long non-coding RNA (PTRE_LNC000580)". Lineage: Eukaryota; Viridiplantae; Streptophyta; Magnoliopsida; Malpighiales; Salicaceae. The record is from RNAcentral.
UUCUUUUCACUCUGUUUUGGGUUGAUGUUCCUGUUCUUCUCUGUGUUUUGGGGCUAAUUACUCUCUUAACUCUAUUUUUCUUGUUCUUAACUCUGCUUUUUCUGGGUUUCUUCUUUGCUUUUUGGGUUUCUCUUUCGUUUUUUUCUGGCCCCCUCCUGCUUCUGUUUCCAGUCCCCUUUUUAUAGAGCUCGAGAGCUUCCCCCCCUAAAUCAAUCCCAUCUUUGCAGGACUGUUAUUCAAAUCACGAGAGGGAUCAUGGGCAAGAGAUGUGGUCCACGAUCGGAUCAAAUUUGUUGCAGAUCUUCAGCCUUUUGAACCGGGAUGGAGACGACGAACACAGCUGUUCCCAUCAACGGCGACGUUUUCAAGCAACCCGUGGACAUUUUCAAUUUGACCCCUGAACUUUGGAAAUUUCUCAAUUGGACCCCUAAGCAAUUAAAAAUUUCUUUCAAUUUUUCCCUUUUUGGAUAAAUUUCAAUUAAGU